GGGGAUGGUGCUGGGCAUGGGGGAAAACGGAAAGCCUCCCCAGAAGCUGAUGCAAAAGCGGCCUUCCUGUGAAGUGCAGCCGAGUAGCAGGAGUGUGGCACAGCACCUAAGAGAGUUGACAUCCACUCUGUCUCCAAGACGCUGGCUGGAAGAAAGUGCAAGGACUUGGAAGAAGAGAAACAAAAAGCAGAGCUGUGGCCUGCCAAGA
Meleagris gallopavo (turkey) is the source of this 208-nucleotide non-coding RNA. NCBI's taxonomy places the organism in Eukaryota, Metazoa, Chordata, Aves, Galliformes, Phasianidae. The record is from RefSeq and is a predicted model, not a curated record.